GUGGAUAUCCCCUGUCUAGCUGGAUCGUGUGGUAGGCCGCGUAGGUGACAGUUACGUUGGUCCCCUGUAGUCCACCUCCUGUUAGCAGGACGGGUAGGGUUUAUCGGCCUAUGGAUAAGCAUCCUUUGUGGUGUAUUCUUAUCACGUGGUUCGUCCCAGACAUAGACAUACCCCUUUGAAGUAGAGAAACCAUAGUUAUCCUCUCUAUUCUGCUACCAUCGCUCGUAUACUAGAUUGCUCAACUCUAUAUUCCCCUAUUAUUACCCAUUGUUAUCUUACCUUUUAUAUUGUUCUUAUUCAAUUCUACAAUCUUUCCUAUUUACACUUAUCUAUCUAUCUUGGUUAAGUUAGAGCGUAGUUGGUUCUCCCGUUUCCCUGUGCAUAUGAUAAAACCUUUAACUGGGUAAAAGCUACAACGGUAUCCGUCCGCUUGCGGAUUUAUCUGUGUGCGUAUAAAUACCAUAGUACACUCUAGUGCCAUGCUGGGGAUGACAACCUAGUAUUCAAGUGGUGUUAGCAAGUGUCAACAAGCAUUUUUGGCACCGUUGCUGGGGAGACGGUUGCUGAGUUGACUACGAACUAGCUUAAUCAUUUUCUAAAAAAAUAAUAAAAAAAUAUUUUUCCUUUUAUCCUUUUCCUCAUCUCUGCUAUUCUUUCUUCUUAUCUAAUCCUUGAUCUCUAGUCUAUAAUGAAUACAAACAUGUCUAUCUAUCAGUUUAAUAGACCUAUGGGCACACAUCUCGAACCACCAAAAUCUUCAAAGCCUAUCAUGACAUCUAGUUUUGAGAUAAGCCCGGAAUACAUAGAAUUUCUUCAAAAACAACCUUUCUCAGGAGAAGGUGAGGAAAACCCAUACACGCACC
This 863-nucleotide long non-coding RNA is filed under the name Sorghum bicolor (sorghum). Its description in RNAcentral is "long non-coding RNA (SBIC_LNC012542)". The record is from RNAcentral. Lineage: Eukaryota; Viridiplantae; Streptophyta; Magnoliopsida; Poales; Poaceae.